UAUGGUGUCCGUGGUAGGAGAGCGUUCUAAGGGCGGUGAAGCAAGACCGGAAGGACUUGUGGAGCGCUUAGAAGUGAGAAUGCCGGUAUGAGUAGCGAAAGAAGGGUGAGAAUCCCUUCCACCGAAUGCCUAAGGUUUCCUGAGGAAGGCUCGUCCUCUCAGGGUUAGUCGGGACCUAAGCCGAGGCCGACAGGCGUAGGCGAUGGACAACAGGUUGAUAUUCCUGUACCACCUCUUCACCAUUUGAGCAAUGGGGGGACGCAGGAGGAUAGGGCAAGCGCACAGUUGGUUGUGCGUCCAAGCAGUUAGGCCGGUGACGAGGCAAAUCCCGUCACCAUCAAGGCGGAGCUGUGACGGCGAGGGAAAUUUAGUACCGAAGUUCCUGAUUCCACACUGCCAAGAAAAGCCUCUAGCGAGGUGAAAGGUGCCCGUACCGCAAACCGACACAGGUAGGCGAGGAGAGAAUCCUAAGGUGAGCGAGUGAACUCUCGUUAAGGAACUCGGCAAAAUGACCCCGUAACUUCGGGAGAAGGGGUGCUCUUUGGGGUGCAUAGCCCUGAGGAGCCGCAGUGAAUAGGCCCAGGCGACUGUUUAGCAAAAACACAGGUCUCUGCGAAGCCGCAAGGCGAAGUAUAGGGGCUGACGCCUGCCCGGUGCUGGAAGGUUAAGAGGAGGGGUUAGCUCACGCGAAGCUCUGAAUUGAAGCCCCAGUAAACGGCGGCCGUAACUAUAACGGUCCUAAGGUAGCGAAAUUCCUUGUCGGGUAAGUUCCGACCCGCACGAAAGGCGUAACGAUCUGGGCACUGUCUCAACGAGAGACUCGGUGAAAUUAUAGUACCUGUGAAGAUGCAGGUUACCCGCGACAGGACGGAAAGACCCCGUGGAGCUUUACUGCAGCCUGAUAUUGAAUUUCGGCACAGCUUGUACAGGAUAGGUAGGAGCCUUUGAACCCGGAGCGCCAGCUUCGGGGGAGGCGUCGGUGGGAUACUACCCUGGCUGUGUUGAACUUCUAACCCGCACCCGUGAUCCGGGUGGGAGACAGUGUCAGGCGGGCAGUUUGACUGGGGCGGUCGCCUCCUAAAAAGUAACGGAGGCGCCCAAAGGUUCCCUCAGAAUGGUUGGAAAUCAUUCGCAGAGUGUAAAGGCACAAGGGAGCUUGACUGCGAGACCUACAAGUCGAGCAGGGACGAAAGUCGGGCUUAGUGAUCCGGUGGUUCCGCAUGGAAGGGCCAUCGCUCAACGGAUAAAAGCUACCCCGGGGAUAACAGGCUUAUCUCCCCCAAGAGUCCACAUCGACGGGGAGGUUUGGCACCUCGAUGUCGGCUCAUCGCAUCCUGGGGCUGUAGUCGGUCCCAAGGGUUGGGCUGUUCGCCCAUUAAAGCGGUACGCGAGCUGGGUUCAGAACGUCGUGAGACAGUUCGGUCCCUAUCCGUCGCGGGCGCAGGAAAUUUGAGAGGAGCUGUCCUUAGUACGAGAGGACCGGGAUGGACGCACCGCUGGUGUACCAGUUGUCUUGCCAAAGGCAUCGCUGGGUAGCUAUGUGCGGACGGGAUAAGUGCUGAAAGCAUCUAAGCAUGAAGCCCCCCUCAAGAUGAGAUUUCCCAUAGCGCAAGCUAGUAAGAUCCCUGAAAGAUGAUCAGGUAGAUAGGUUCGAGGUGGAAGCGUGGCGACACGUGGAGCUGACGAAUACUAAUCGAUCGAGGACUUA
Molecule: ribosomal RNA, 1708 nt
Filed under: Pseudobacillus badius
Lineage: Bacteria; Bacillati; Bacillota; Bacilli; Caryophanales; Bacillaceae
Description: Bacillus badius partial 23S ribosomal RNA
Rfam family: Bacterial large subunit ribosomal RNA
Source: RNAcentral